Molecule: long non-coding RNA, 872 nt
Organism: Cavia porcellus (domestic guinea pig)
Lineage: Eukaryota; Metazoa; Chordata; Mammalia; Rodentia; Caviidae
Exons: 4
Source: RefSeq, a predicted model, not a curated record
AGGAGUGGGGAGUGGGGACCAGGCUUGGAGACCCGGGUGAGGCUCCCGCUGUGCAGACUGAAGACACCAAGGUGAGGAGCUUGGACUCAAAGCAGAAGCAGUGGGAAAUUAUGGAAAAGGAUCUCUUUUUUUCCAUAGGAAAAAUCUCCCAGCAGUGAGCAGAGUGGAAUCAAAGGCAGGAGUCUUUUUUAAUAAUGUGGGUUGAGGAGAGGAAGGAGGCCUGAACAGGACAGGGUCGUGGGAAUGGAGGAUGGAGAAUAAAGAGACUGCAGAGAAGAGACUCCCUCCGCUCACAAAUUGGAUACAGAUGAGAGCGGAGAGUGGGGGUUUGACCGUUUCUUCCUGAGAAUGAAAACACUGAGCUAGGAAGGUGCACAGGCGGAGAGGACGCCGAGCGUGGCUUUGAUGAUACCCGAGUCACUGACCGUGGAGCAGCAGCAGUGGCAAAUUCAACACAGACUGCAACUGAAGACCCAGCCAAGAAGAGCUCAGGCUCCUCUGUGUGAUUGCACACGGAGGCCGAGGGGCUGCAGGACACCAAGGAAUCAAACCAGGACCUUGUGCUAAGCAGGCAGACGAUAUGCCACUGAGCUUCUUCCCUGGCCUGAUUAAUUUUGCCUGCUGUGGUGGUACACACCUGUAAUCAUAGCACUUGGGAAGCUGAGACAGGAGGAUCAUGGCCUGGCGCCCAGCUGUUCUGGGUCUUCCCCCAGAUCAAGAUGGCCGUGAAAGGGGAACCUUCUGAGUGGAUUCAGGACAUCAGGGCAGCCACCACUGCACGACACAGGACCUUCGGGAAACAGGAGGUCUGGAAGCACUUCAGAAGGUGACAGGAAUGAUGGGCUAGGUGUGUUCUAAAGAAGGGGGGCUGG